UCCACACCCCAGCCAUCCAGCCAUGGGUCUGAUGAGUGAGGACAUGGAGUGCUGCGUCUGCCUCCAAUCCUACUCUCGUAGGGAGAAGAUCCCUCGGAUGCUCCACUGUAAGCACACAGUGUGUGGGCUGUGCUUGCAGGCGAUGUCCAGGCACCAGAGCGGCCUACUGACAGUCUGCUGCCCACUGUGCCGUUGGAUCACCUGCACCGAGCCCAGCCUCACCCUGCCGGGGUCGCUGUGGGUUAACACUGAGAUCUGGGACCAGAUACUAGACACACAACAGGAAGAGGAGGAGGAGGAAGAGGAAGGACAGUGGAAGGAAGCUAACAGACAGACACAGACCACUACACCGUACACAUGGUCUCCAUCAAGGCAUUGUGGCCUGAGGCUCAAACUACAGAAUUUCCUGAGGCGGAUGAAGCACAAUGUACUGUAAACCGAGAAGACGAAGAGCAGAGAUAAAGAAGACUGGAUGUUACCAUUUCAGAGUAGGAGAUACUCAUUGAGUAAUGAAGCUAAUUCACUAAACAGGACCGACCGGGGAUUUUCAAUAAUGACGCAAGAAUGAACAAAUUAUUAAUAUUCUU
This 587-nucleotide long non-coding RNA is filed under the name Salmo salar (Atlantic salmon). RNAcentral describes it as "lncRNA (ENSSSAG00000084085.1, ENSSSAG00000108371.1)". The record is from RNAcentral. Lineage: Eukaryota; Metazoa; Chordata; Actinopteri; Salmoniformes; Salmonidae.